This is a long non-coding RNA of Gallus gallus (chicken), 4680 nucleotides long. Lineage: Eukaryota; Metazoa; Chordata; Aves; Galliformes; Phasianidae. The record is from Ensembl.
UGCAAUGAGUCACAGUGCCCUUGCUAUCUAGACAUGUUAUUUAUCCCUUGUGAGUCUCUUUUUUCUCUCAUUUGCUACAUGCCCAAAUGCAGCUAACAGUCUCACUAAAAAAGAUACAGUAAUAGUUAUUGCUGGUCUAGACGUAGGUGUCCUGUUGCUGUGUUUAGUCGGAGUGAAGUGGGAAGCAGUUUUCAUUCACACAGAUUAUCAGAAUACAGCUUGCCUGAUGUAAUGCCUACAAGAUGUCAGAACUACUCUUCUCCUGGGAUUUGGAAAAACAAAUAGGACCUGAUACUUUAUCUGGAGUUAAUAUUCUGUCUCAAUCUGACUUACCCUAAAUUUCCCGUAAAUCUUUUUUUGUUUUUCCCUAUUUCAUCAUCUGAGAAACCACGUGUUGCAAAGAAAAUUCGCUCACUGUUCUUUUCUGGAAUGCUAAUUGUCAACUUAGAUCAGUUUAGCAUGCAAAACCUCCCUCUGUACUGCCGGACAGGGGUCAGUGCUGCCAAUGAACUGCGAGUAGCAGCUACUGAUUCCAAAUUUAAAAUAAUUAGCAUCAGCACAGCUGACAGAACACACUGCACAGUGGCAUUUGAUACCUUUUGGAAGCUGAAAAAUGUGGACACUAGCUGAUAACAACUCUUUUUCCUUUUUAAAACAAGCAGAGUUUUAUAGGUGGAUCUAGGUUCUCAGCAGAGCAGGCACAGGGUCUCCAUUCCCUGGCUGGGUUGCAUGGAUUCUUGAUGGAAAGGUUUUGCCUCUUGCCUCUAAAGCAGCUUGGAAUUUAGAUACUUCAUGUAGUUUCUAUACAAUGACAUCUAAGGAGGACAUAAAUAUAACUGAAAUUCUAGGGAGUAUUUUUUCUUCACCUAAUUGAAUGUUUUCCCCUAAAACAUAAAAGCAACUAGGGGUACAGUCUUGGCUAGAAUUAAAGACCAGAGCAGUAUAACUGAAACUGCAGGUUAUGCUGUAUCUCAUCCUUGGCAGCACAGACAUGAUGAAUUUGCUGCUUUGAGCUGCUUCUAUCUCCAGAGAACAUCUGAGAUUGAAAUCAGUGUUAAUAUUUGCACAUACAAGUAAGGGGGUUCCCACCGUGAAGCCUGGUGCAUUUAGAAAGACUGAGUUUAUGUAGUCUGAUGUCCCAGCAGCCAUAAAGGAACCUGUUCUUCAGGAUGUGCUGCCUCUUCAAGGACAUCCCAAAUGUUCCUGCAGGAAUCAUUCUUCUGCAUCCUUUGCAGCUGGCUGUGGGACUAAGGUUGCAUUUUCUUUGCUGCCCAGAGUGUUACAGCAGGACCACUGAUGGUGGGCUCACUCCCCCGAUUGCAGGGGAUGGGUACAUUAAUGUCCUGAAUUGUGGCUCUUCGUGUGGGUGGGCUGGGAUCCCAUAGGAGGAUUAUUGGUAGGGAAUGGCAAAGAAUAGAUAAAUAGAUUAAAGAGCCUGAAUAUCAGAACUCUCCUGACAUGGGAAAUGGGUAACCGAGAUCCCGUGAUUCACUCUUCACAAAUGCAUCUUUGUUGCUUGGGAUUCAUGGUCUUCAUGGCUAUUACCAAAGACUGAGGCCGGGGUGGAUGCCUGUUGCUUAAAUUGGUGACAGUGGUCUUUGCUACAAAAAGGUGUCUUCCUCUUGCUCUGGUUAUUUUCCAGCUUUGCUUCCCCAAACAGGGAUGUCAGGAGGGCAUUGGAUCCCACGGAGCGUGCAGGUAAGUUUCCAUCUUGAGAGUGGUGUUCAAUAAGGCCAAGUGCAAGAUGCUGUAUCUGGGUUAGUGCAAUCCCUGAUGUGUGUACAGACUGGGAGAACUCAUUGAGAGCAGCUCUGCCAAGAAGGACUUGGGGAUUCUGGUGGAUGAACAGAUGGACAUGAGCCAGCAGUGAGCACUGGCAGUUCAGAAGGCCAACUCUAUCCUGGGCUGCAUCAAAAGAUGGUGACCAGCAGGAAGAGGGAGGUGACUGUCCCCCCUGCUCAGCCCUUGUGAAGUCACAUUGGGAGUACUGUGUCCAGAUCUGGGGACCCCAGCACAGGAAGGAUGCAGAUCUGUUGGAGUGGGUCCAGAAGCAGACCAUGAAGAUGAUCAGAGGGCUGAAGCAUCUCUCCUAUAAAGGGCUGAGACAGCUAAACACGUUCAGCCUGGAGAAGGUUCCAGGGAGACCACAUUGCAGCCUUCCAGUACUUAAACGGAAGAUUAAAUGUAAUGGAGAGAAAAGCAGUAGCAAUGGGAAAGGCAAACAACACUGUCUUUUCACCUUCUUCUCUUCAGAGCCGUUUAGGGGUGUGUGACAGAGGCACCAUUACAGGAAGAUGUCUUAGCGCUGUGGAAACAAUAAACUGGAGAACAGACCAUAGAAGAAUCACAGCGUGGGGAGAUUUACAUUCAUCAGGCCACCUGGAGAGUAUUUCUGGAUGUGCAGUUCUAUCAGAUACUUCUUGGGCUGCCCAACCUACUCAUUGCUGGCAUUCUUAAUGCACAUAUGCUGCAGGGUCACUGUGUUCCGCCUCCAAAAACCAGCUAUAUCACCUUCGCUAUUUCAGUCAACACUGUCAUUAGGUUUAUUUUCGCAAGCACUGGUAACGUGGCAGUCACGCUUUUAUUAGCACUCUGACCUCUAUGAGUGCAUGUGACUUGCUCAGAAAGCAAAGCCUUCUCUUUAGUUGAGGAGGGCUUUAUCAGCCUUUCUUCCCCUUCUCCAGAGCAAAGAAUCUGCAGAGUAAAGCAUCUUGUUUAUCAGUCCAACUGUGACCUUUGAUGUCUGAGGCAUCAGUCUGAGGUGAAAGGGACAGCCCCAUCAUGUUGUACCACAGGCUCAGAACCAAGUUGAAGCCUACUGCUGUCAGCUUGUGUUUGUCUGAAGCAUUGCUGUGCUUCUCUCCCUGCCUUUGGAGUUCCCUUGCCUGAUGCUGAAUCCAGACUUAGGAUGCUGCUGAUAAUUAAUCACACCUCAUGAAUUUCAGUCCUAAAAAUAAACCUUUAGUCAUCUCUGAGUACAUACAGAAAGGACCAUCCAUCAUUGAGGAGGCAGGAAAAGCUCCCUUGCCUUUUUUCCUUGUAAAUGCAAAGAAAUUGCUGGGAAAGGAGAAAUAGGGGAGCUGCUACUAUCCUCAAGAGUCAGAGCAAGAAAAAGAAGGCUGGCAGCUCAGGACAGCUGCACUAUUUCUGCUAUUAUAUGCAUUUUAGCCUGCUUUUUCAUUCCUCCCCCUCCCUUCUUCCUUAUUGCAACAUGAUGCUUGCCUAGUAGAAAGGCAGAGCCUGAAACAGCUUGCCUGGAGGCCUGGGAGGGGAGGAAAGGGCAGUUUCUAUUGCAGGAUCCGGAGGAGGCCAAAGGGUAUGGAGGAGCAAAGGGCAGGGAUGUGGCUGGAGUAGCACAGGCAGGAAGCUGCAGGACGGAGUUAAGGAGGAACACUGAAUUAUUUCUCUUUGGAAGAACAUUUGGUUAAAAGUUAAGAAGCCUCCUGGAAUGGAUAGAAAUGGAUUCAGUAUAAUUUCAUUUAGUCUGCUUGAAGUACAGAAACCGGGAGCAUUACAUCUUGCUCCAUGAAAGCAGAAUUUAAGCCAUACACACACAUACAGAGCUCAGGUCCUUCUGUGAUACUGAACUCCCUGUGUCCAACUGAUGUGAAAUCCCACACCUGAUCCUCCUUCAGAUAUGGCACUUCUGGAUCUAGCUCCAUUUUUCCACCAACAGUGUUGUCUUCUGAAUGUCAGAAGCUUCCUUAAGGUGUCACCUCGGAGAUCUGAUAAAAAAAUUACUUUUAAAAAGCUCUGUCUGAAUUAACUGCUGAAAUGAGAAGCUUUUCUAUGUCUGGAGUUCAGUGAAAUGUAAUGAAUGGUGUUUUAGCACUACCUGACUGCAGCUAUACGUUCCAAAUGUGACAUACUAUUAAUGUCACCACACAUGACAGAAAAUUCAAACCCAUGAGAGAAAAGAGAUGAAUCGUCCACAAAUCCACCUUACUGGAAAAGCCACAAGAGAUUACCCGGCAGUGUCAUAACGAGCCCUCCAGCAAUGCCUGCCGCGUUUCUGUGCCGCAGCUCAGCGAUGCGAACACCCCGCCAUCAUUCUGUCACCACACGCACAAAGCGGGGCUUUCUCAUCUUCUGCUUGCUGUUUCUCCAGAGGAAAUGUCAUACCGCGAUCCGGCAGCACCGCUGAGGAAGUUUUUCAGCUUUCUGUACGCGCUGACACACGCCGGUGGAAAUUUGCACUCGGUUUUGCCUUCCUCUCGUUGUUCCCCUUUGCCUUUCAGUGACCGAAGCGCAGGCGGUCACCACGCACCCCCCUCCCAUAGCAGCCUGCAUGAGCCAACGUCGCGAAGAAAAGGUAAAAAAGUUCAAACACGAAGGAGGAAAGGCACCGGCAGCCUCCUGAGGAGAGCUCCGCGUGCAGAGCGCCCCGCAGGCCGGCACAGCCCGGGGGCACGGUCUGGAAACCCCCGCCCGACGCGCAGGGAAAGCACGUUCUGCGUGGGGAACCCCGCGCCGCCAGGAAAGCACCCGCCGUCCCGCCCAGCGCCGUGCGGUGCCGCUCCUCGCUCAGCAAACGGGCAGCGGGGACACAGCGGCUCCCGAGGGGAUCCGUACAGCUCGGGGUGGGGAGGGAGCGCACAAGGCUCGGGGGGAGCCUGCUCCGACCGCCCUGAGAGAUGAGGACCAAAGACACAAAACGCUGCCAUGGCCGCGACGGAAAGA